Molecule: ribosomal RNA, 452 nt
Filed under: uncultured bacterium
Lineage: Bacteria
Description: SSU rRNA
Rfam family: Bacterial small subunit ribosomal RNA
Source: RNAcentral
AGAACAAACGCUGGCGGCAGGCUUAACACAUGCAAGUCGAACGCCCCGCAAGGGGAGUGGCAGACGGGUGAGUAACGCGUGGGAAUCUACCCAAUUCUUCGGAACAACUGAGGGAAACUUCAGCUAAUACCGGAUACGCCCUACGGGGGAAAGAUUUAUCGGAGAAGGAUCGGCCCGCGUUGGAUUAGGUAGUUGGUGGGGUAAUGGCCUACCAAGCCGACGAUCCAUAGCUGGUUUGAGAGGAUGAUCAGCCACACUGGGACUGAGACACGGCCCAGACUCCUACGGGAGGCAGCAGUGGGGAAUCUUGGACAAUGGGGGCAACCCUGAUCCAGCCAUGCCGCGUGAGCGAUGAAGGCCUUAGGGUUGUAAAGCGUCUUUCAGCGGGGAAGAUAAAUGACGGUACCCGCAGAAAGGAAGCCCCCGGCUAAACUCCCGGUGCCAGCAGCCGC